GAAAGUAACWRCAUCCUGACUGUGCUAGAGGGAGCACAGCCAGGAGCUUGUGGGAAGAGGUCAUGCUCCUGCUCAGCACCUGUUAGACCACAUCUAGGCACUGUGUCCUCUUGAGCCCCUCCAGGAAAGGCAAUGAAAAAUUGGAGCCAAGUUUAGCUGAGGCUCCCCAGGAUGCUUGGAGUCAGAGCCUUGUGAGAAGGAGCUAAAGAAAUGGGAUUUAUCCUCUUCACCUGGAGAAGAAGGGGCUUCAGGUGAACCUGAUAGCAGCCUGCCAGGACUUGUGAGGGUGUCUGCAAGAAGACAAAGUCAGGCUCUUCACAAUGAUGGAAGAUUGUCUCUCCUUUGUGGGUUUUCAGAGUGCCUGGAACAGAGGACCCUCUCUCUUGGGUCAUCUCUGGAUGCUGCCAUAGAGCAACAAUGGUAGAAGAAUAGUAAUGAUAUCUGUUAUUGGAGUCAAAUAAAUCACAUCAAAUGCACAGGGGUCCUUACCAUUCUUAACAAACUUGAUGGAUGUGUUAAGACGAGCAACAUUGAUAUUCAGUUGUCCGACAAAUCUGCGGUAUCUUCCACAGUCACAGACUGUGCCUGAUGCAAUACAAAGAAUAGAGGAUUAAUCUGUUUAGAAGCAUUUGAAUGUGUGUGCAUGGAGAGUCACCUGUAGCCCACUUCCAAAGCUCCUGCAGAUCUGGGCUCCACUUAUGGAGAGCCAGUCUCACCAUACCCCACUGGCUAUAUUCUGCUGAUCAAAGUGUUUAAGGUUUUGGUUCUGUACACUCCCUUGCUAACUGGCUUAAGCAAGUUAAUACCAACCCAAAUAAUCAAUAGCUUUCAAGCA
Malurus melanocephalus (red-backed fairy wren) is the source of this 835-nucleotide long non-coding RNA. RefSeq lists it as uncharacterized. Lineage: Eukaryota; Metazoa; Chordata; Aves; Passeriformes; Maluridae. The transcript is spliced from 2 exons. The record is from RefSeq and is a predicted model, not a curated record.